UACAGAGGUCUCAAGCGUUGUUCGGAUUCAUUGGGCGUAAAGGGUGUGUAGGUGGCGCGCUAAGUCGGGUGUGAAAUUUCGGAGCUUAACUCCGAAACUGCAUUCGAUACUGGCGUGCUUGAGGACUGGAGAGGAGACUGGAAUUCAUGGUGUAGCAGUGAAAUGCGUAGAUAUCAGGAGGAACACCGGUGGCGAAGGCGGAUCUCUGGGCCAUUACUGACGCUGAGGAGCGAAAGCGUGGGGAGCGAACAGG
Molecule: ribosomal RNA, 253 nt
Filed under: uncultured bacterium
Lineage: Bacteria
Description: partial 16S ribosomal RNA
Rfam family: Bacterial small subunit ribosomal RNA
Source: RNAcentral